GUACGUCAGCCAUCGACAUCGUCCGUACACCCACCCUCACUCUUAAUUUAAGACGUUUCUUCUUUCUCACGCAUCGUCAUAUAUUGUGUGAUUUCUUUAAAAAUGUUAUUAAAAAAACUCUACGAAGCAAAGUUUGUAAAACCAACCGUCAGAAGAUUUCUACGACAUUUUGUCUUUGUUUACGAAAAGAAUUUAACAAAAGCAU
This 205-nucleotide small RNA is filed under the name Arabidopsis thaliana (thale cress). Its description in RNAcentral is "ATSL122480". Lineage: Eukaryota; Viridiplantae; Streptophyta; Magnoliopsida; Brassicales; Brassicaceae. The record is from RNAcentral.